AAAUGAAUUGACGGGGACCCGCACAAGCGGUGGAGCAUGUGGUUUAAUUCGAAGCAACGCGAAGAACCUUACCAGGGUUUGACAUACCGGUGAUACAUUUAGAGAUAAGUGGUUCCUUCGGGACACCGGAUACAGGUGGUGCAUGGUUGUCGUCAGCUCGUGUCGUGAGAUGUUGGGUUAAGUCCCGCAACGAGCGCAACCCUUAUCGUUAGUUACUAACAUUAAGUUGAGGACUUUAACGAGACUGCCAGUGAUAAACUGGAGGAAGGCGGGGAUGAGGUCAAAUCAUCAUGCCCCUUAUACCCUGGGCUACACACGUGCUACAAUGGUCGGUACAAAGAGAAGCGAAACGGUGACGUCAAGCAAACCUCAUAAAGCCGAUCUCAGUUCGGAUUGUAGUCUGCAACUCGACUACAUGAAGAUGGAAUCGCUAGUAAUCGCGGAUCAGAAUGCCGCGGUGAAUACGUUCCCGGGUCUUGUACACACCGCCCGU
Molecule: ribosomal RNA, 493 nt
Filed under: uncultured bacterium
Lineage: Bacteria
Description: bacterial SSU rRNA
Rfam family: Bacterial small subunit ribosomal RNA
Source: RNAcentral